This 615-nucleotide ribosomal RNA is filed under the name uncultured yeast. RNAcentral describes it as "eukaryotic LSU rRNA". It matches the Rfam family "Eukaryotic large subunit ribosomal RNA", at positions 38 to 667 of the family's 3401-position model. The record is from RNAcentral. Lineage: Eukaryota; Fungi.
GCAUAUCAAUAAGCGGAGGAAAAGAAACCAACCGGGAUUGCCUUAGUAACGGCGAGUGAAGCGGCAAAAGCUCAAAUUUGAAAUCUGGUACCUUCGGUGCCCGAGUUGUAAUUUGGAGAGGGCAACUUUGGGGCCGUUCCUUGUCUAUGUUCCUUGGAACAGGACGUCAUAGAGGGUGAGAAUCCCGUGUGGCGAGGAGUGCGGUUCUUUGUAAAGUGCCUUCGAAGAGUCGAGUUGUUUGGGAAUGCAGCUCUAAGUGGGUGGUAAAUUCCAUCUAAAGCUAAAUAUUGGCGAGAGACCGAUAGCGAACAAGUACAGUGAUGGAAAGAUGAAAAGAACUUAGAAAAGAGGGUGAAAAAGUACGUGAAAUUGUUGAAAGGGAAGGGCAUUUGAUCAGACAUGGUGUUUUGUGCCCUCUGCUCCUUGUGGGUAGGGGAAUCUCGCAUUUCACUGGGCCAGCAUCAGUUUUGGUGGCAGGAUAAAUCCAUAGGAAUGUAGCUUGCCUCGGUAAGUAUUAUAGCCUGUGGGAAUACUGCCAGCUGGGACUGAGGACUGCGACGUAAGUCAAGGAUGCUGGCAUAAUGGUUAUAUGCCGCCCGUCUUGAAACACGGACC